This 294-nucleotide unclassified non-coding RNA is filed under the name uncultured fungus. RNAcentral describes it as "partial contains 5.8S ribosomal RNA, internal transcribed spacer 2, and large subunit ribosomal RNA". The stretch from base 1 to 52 matches the Rfam family "5.8S ribosomal RNA", at positions 103 to 154 of the family's 154-position model. Lineage: Eukaryota; Fungi. RNAcentral also lists the same sequence under 1 other name. The record is from RNAcentral.
AACGCACCUUGCGCUCCUUGGUAUUCCGAGGAGCAUGCCUGUUUGAGUGUCAUUAAUAUAUCAACCUCUUCAGCUUUUGCUUGUUGAGUGUUGGAUGUGGGGGCUUUUUGCUGGUCUUUUUAAAGAAGUCAGCUCCCCUAAAAUUUAUUAGCGGAACAAUUUGUUGACCGUUCAUUGGUGUGAUAAUUAUCUACGCUAUUAACGUGAGGCAGUUCAGCUUCUAACAGUCCAUUGACUUGGACAGUUUUUCAUUAAUGUGACCUCAAAUCAGGUAGGACUACCCGCUGAACUUAA